Sus scrofa (pig) is the source of this 2300-nucleotide long non-coding RNA. RefSeq lists it as uncharacterized. The record is from RefSeq and is a predicted model, not a curated record. NCBI's taxonomy places the organism in Eukaryota, Metazoa, Chordata, Mammalia, Artiodactyla, Suidae.
ACACAUGUGAUUCUGUACUUACAAGGAAGUAGAAAAUAGCAAAUAAAAAUCAUGACUUGGCUCAGAGGGUUGCUAUUGCCUCCGAAGGCGGUAGCCCCCUGAUCUCCACUCUAUUUUUUUUGUCUCCUUUCUUAAAUCUGCGGCACUGCUGACCUUGAGACCUGAGUUGACAAGCAGGUCUCAUCAAGUGGCGCUGAACAGGGACCUGAAGCAGUUCACAGUCUACAAGACUAAUGGACAGGUGCUGACAGACGCGGGGAAUUCUGGCUGAAAAAGCGACAGACUGGAAAGUAACAAGAGAUGAAGAAACCAAAAGAAUAAUCAGGAAAUUGAAUGUAGAACAAUUAAUGCUCAACGAAAAGUGGCUUUUUGUAGUUGUUACUAUCAAAGGGUUCCCUUCAAGAUUACCUCACAGAUUUUCCAGGAGGUGAAGAUGAAGACAAGGAGACUGAACAAUGGAUGUGUGUGUGUAACUGUCCCCUGACUCACAAAAGUGCAAUGGAAAGCAAACAAGUGAAGUGAAAGAAUGCAAAGAGGGAGAUGGAACAAAAGCUUGCAGAGAAGUGCCAGUUAACAACUGACUAUAAGAGAAGAAUAAUCUUCUGAGUAAAUACAGAGAAAGAGAGAAAGAGAAGGGGCAGGGAUUUGUAUUGAAGAAGCUUGCUCUGUACUUUGAAACAAACUGAAAGAGAAAAAAUAGUAUUAUUUAUUUAAAAUCACUCCCUGACUUGAAUCAAUUCAGGAUACAAAAUAGUUUGCCUCCCUACUGAUUAUAUCAAUUUUUAAAUUGCAUUUAUUGCUAUUUUUCUUUUAUCUAGAGAUACGUAUUGAGUGUCUGUUAUAUGCCAGAAACUAUUCUCAGGAGAGCAUUGAACAAAACAGAAAAACUCUGCACUCACACAGCUUAAAUUCUAGCUGACAAUAGCUAAACAAACAAGCAAACAUGAUGUCAUAUAGUAUAAGUGCUAUGAAGAAAAAUCAGGUUAGGUACAUGGAAAGUUUUUACUUUCAUAGGGGUAGACAGGGAAACUGACUUACCCCAAGAUUAAUACACACUAAUGGUAGAUUUUUUUUUAACAAUAAAGAUUAACAAAAUGAAAAGCUGAAGUACUUUCUAUUUUAUUACCUAGGGAUAGAUACCUUGUGUUAAUAUUUUUCAUAUGUGUGUAUAUGUAUGUAUUUUUUAACUGGGAUACAUUGCCUUAUUGUUUGAAACAUUUGAUAAGUAUCUUCCAAUAAGAUGAUUCUGCUUUUCCUCACUGUCCUAUUUUAUAAUCCCUACUUAAAAGCAGAGUACACUUCUUGCCUCAUUUUUAGUUUUGAUUUGGUUCAGCCAAUGAAAUGUGAGCAGUAAAGAUUUGUUUUGGUUCUGAGAGAUUCUUGAAGAGUCCUCACCCAUUUCUGCCGGCUCUUUUGCACUAUCUCUCUGCCAUGAGGAUGUCAGAUCCCAAAUACAAGCUUAUUUGUAUACUGGGUCUUGAGGUUAAACCAUCUGGAAUAGAGUCACAAAACAAAUGUUUCUUGUGGAAAUUUUGUUAAUGUAUCAUUAAAACUAGAGAAAUAUAUGCAAAUAUAGUUUAUUUCAGAAGAGAAGUCAUGUAGUAGUGAAUUUCUCACUAAGCAAAAUAGCAUGAUUGGUAUAUUCUUUUCCAACUAUUUUCCCUAUGUUUUAAAUUACAAAUGACAUUUAUAAAAAUUCUAAAACUUAACAGAGAUGGACGAAGUUAAAAGUGAAAUUUCAUAGUACACUUUCCCAAAUCUUGAUAAUCUCAGUUAAUCCCACAGAUAAUACUAUUAAAAAUUUAUAGCAUAUUCAUCUGUGAGUAUAUGACCCUUCUUCCUCUCUCUUCACUUCACACAGUCACACACACUUAUAAAAUAGGAUGGUAGCAUCAGACAUAAUAUUUUUGGAAUUGCUUGUGUGUCUGUGUGUCAGUGUGUGUGUAUUACUGAUUAUGUCAUGGCCACAUUUCCAAAUCAAUACAAAGGUAAAAGCUAUACUUCAUUCCUUUUAGCUGCACUCCAUGGUCUGACUGUAACACAAUUAAUUUAAUUAUAUUAUUAUUCAUGUAAAUGUAGGAUAUAUCUAAAUUUUGUAAUUGCAAACUAAUCUGAAAAAUGAAAUUUUAUGUAUUCUAUUUACUAGUGUUAGAAGAUAGUCCUACAAGUGGACAAGUGCUGUAGAUUUUCUAAAAUACUAUUUUUCUGCUUUCAUAUUAUUCCAUUGCAUAUGUAAUUUAUCUAAAAUGCCAUGUGGAGUUCCUGUCGUAGUGCAGUGGUUAACGAAUCCACCUGGGUCG